GCAAACUUGGUCAUUUAGAGGAAGUAAAAGUCGUAACAAGGUUUCCGUAGGUGAACCUGCGGAAGGAUCAUUAUAGAGAGGAGCUUCCGCGCUCCCGGGGGUUGCAGCCCCCGACUCUCAACCCUAUGAUUGCUUACCACUGUUGCUUUGGCGGGCCUUGGGGAUAAAGUCCCAUGCCAGGCUGUUGCCCGGCAUGUGCCCGCCAGAAGCCCAUCUCCAAAACAUUCCCACUCUUAGGACUGUCCGAGUAUCUUUUUGCAAAACAAAACUUUCAACAACGGAUCUCUUGGUUCUGGCAUCGAUGAAGAACGCAGC
RNAcentral lists this unclassified non-coding RNA (315 nucleotides) under uncultured fungus. RNAcentral's name for it is "partial contains small subunit ribosomal RNA, internal transcribed spacer 1, and 5.8S ribosomal RNA". The stretch from base 1 to 73 matches the Rfam family "Eukaryotic small subunit ribosomal RNA", at positions 1759 to 1831 of the family's 1831-position model. Lineage: Eukaryota; Fungi. The record is from RNAcentral.